UAGGGAAUCUUCCACAAUGGGCGCAAGCCUGAUGGAGCAACGCCGCGUGAGUGAAGAAGGUUUUCGGAUCGUAAAGCUCUGUUGUAAGAGAAGAACGUGUGUGAGAGUGGAAAGUUCACACAGUGACGGUAACUUACCAGAAAGGGGCGGCUAACUACGCGCCAG
Molecule: ribosomal RNA, 165 nt
Filed under: uncultured bacterium
Lineage: Bacteria
Description: partial 16S rRNA
Rfam family: Bacterial small subunit ribosomal RNA
Source: RNAcentral